This 253-nucleotide ribosomal RNA is filed under the name uncultured bacterium. RNAcentral describes it as "partial 16S ribosomal RNA". It matches the Rfam family "Bacterial small subunit ribosomal RNA", at positions 524 to 776 of the family's 1533-position model. The record is from RNAcentral.
UACGGGGGGGGCAAGCGUUGUUCGGAAUUACUGGGCGUAAAGGGCGCGUAGGCGGCCUGCUAAGUCGGAUGUGAAAUCCCUCGGCUCAACCGAGGAACUGCAUCCGAUACUGGCGGGCUUGAAUCCGGGAGAGGGAUGUGGAAUUCCAGGUGUAGCGGUGAAAUGCGUAGAUAUCUGGAGGAACACCGGUGGCGAAGGCGGCAUGCUGGACCGGUAUUGACGCUGAGGCGCGAAAGCUAGGGGAGCGAAUGGG